GAUGAACGCUGGCGGCGUGCCUAAUACAUGCAAGUCGAGCGAACAGACGAGGAGCUUGCUCCUCUGACGUUAGCGGCGGACGGGUGAGUAACACGUGGAUAACCUACCUAUAAGACUGGGAUAACUUCGGGAAACCGGAGCUAAUACCGGAUAAUAUAUUGAACCGCAUGGUUCAAUAGUGAAAGACGGUUUUGCUGUCACUUAUAGAUUGAUCCGCGCCGCAUUAGCUAGUUGGUAAGGUAACGGCUUACCAAGGCAACGAUGCGUAGCCGACCUGAGAGGGUGAUCGGCCACACUGGAACUGAGACACGGUCCAGACUCCUACGGGAGGCAGCAGUAGGGAAUCUUCCGCAAUGGGCGAAAGCCUGACGGAGCAACGCCGCGUGAGUGAUGAAGGUCUUCGGAUCGUAAAACUCUGUUAUUGGGGAAGAACAAAUGUGUAAGUAACUAUGCACGUCUUGACGGUACCUAAUCAGAAAGCCACGGCUAACUACGUG
RNAcentral lists this ribosomal RNA (497 nucleotides) under uncultured bacterium. RNAcentral describes it as "partial 16S ribosomal RNA". It matches the Rfam family "Bacterial small subunit ribosomal RNA", at positions 28 to 507 of the family's 1533-position model. The record is from RNAcentral.